CAGGACCUCAGAUUCCCUGUGACACUGCUGCCUUCCUGAAGACUCCAUCCUGCAGAAGAGCGCACGUUUCCAGCUGACCACGUGCUCCCGGAGAGCACCGAGCACGAGUCUGUUCCUUCUGGUUGAUCGCAGAAAAGCAGAUAGAAAGUUUCCUCAGGUUGCCGCUUGAACCACACAUUGACAGAGCUGGAAGGGACUGGAAGGUCGUUUAAGCCUUUUCUACACAGAGUGUGGUCUGAGGACCAGUGGCAUCAGCAUUAACUAGGAGGCGGUUAGGGAGCACACCUGCUGAAUUGAAAUCCCUUUUAACAGGACCCCAGGUGCUUUUGUCAACGCAACUUAGUGCUUGAGGCACCCAUGCCUGGGUUCAGAGCUGUUUCCAUCCCCUGUGUGCCAUCUCAGGCAAGCGUGUUGGGAAGACCCAGAACAGUCCCUGGCAGUAUAGCUGACAAACAGAAACAGAAAGACAGAUCACUGCUGUACAAAUGGGUUGUUUCGUGGGGCUCAGGAAUCGCCGUCUUUCUCAUGGCCUUAGAAUGUGAUCCAGUAAAUUCUACAAGUGAUCCUUACUGCUAGAUAAAGACCUACAGGCAGGGGCCCCUGAUCUUCUCCUGACCCCACAAGAUGGACAGUGGGGCGUCAUGUACAAGGGAAGGUAGGAAUCAGGAAGAGGUACAUUUCUGUCUGUGCCUCUGGGCGGUGAAAAGGCGGAUAAUAGACCAUUAGGAGCUGGAGCACAGGAUUGAGAGGCUGGGGAUCAGUUACUUCUAAGGAGAGAAAUCCUGCCACUACCCUCAACUGUCCACAGCACAAGCACAGGGACCGGGGUGAG
Long non-coding RNA from Hyaena hyaena (striped hyena), 832 nucleotides. RefSeq lists it as uncharacterized. The transcript is spliced from 3 exons. The record is from RefSeq and is a predicted model, not a curated record. NCBI's taxonomy places the organism in Eukaryota, Metazoa, Chordata, Mammalia, Carnivora, Hyaenidae.